RNAcentral lists this ribosomal RNA (590 nucleotides) under uncultured Psychrobacter sp. Its description in RNAcentral is "bacterial SSU rRNA". It matches the Rfam family "Bacterial small subunit ribosomal RNA", at positions 336 to 918 of the family's 1533-position model. The record is from RNAcentral. Lineage: Bacteria; Pseudomonadati; Pseudomonadota; Gammaproteobacteria; Moraxellales; Moraxellaceae.
UUCCUACGGGAGGCAGCAGUGGGGAAUAUUGGACAAUGGGGGCAACCCUGAUCCAGCCAUGCCGCGUGUGUGAAGAAGGCCUUUUGGUUGUAAAGCACUUUAAGCAGUGAAGAAGACUCUAUGGUUAAUACCCAUAGACGAUGACAUUAGCUGCAGAAUAAGCACCGGCUAACUCUGUGCCAGCAGCCGCGGUAAUACAGAGGGUGCAAGCGUUAAUCGGAAUUACUGGGCGUAAAGCGAGCGUAGGUGGCUUAAUAAGUCAGAUGUGAAAUCCCCGGGCUUAACCUGGGAACUGCAUCUGAUACUGUUGGGCUAGAGUAGGUGAGAGGGAGGUAGAAUUUCAGGUGUAGCGGUGAAAUGCGUAGAGAUCUGAAGGAAUACCGAUGGCGAAGGCAGCCUCCUGGCAUCAUACUGACACUGAGGUUCGAAAGCGUGGGUAGCAAACAGGAUUAGAUACCCUGGUAGUCCACGCCGUAAACGAUGUCUACUAGUCGUUGGGGAACUUGAUUCCUUAGUGACGCAGCUAACGCAAUAAGUAGACCGCCUGGGGAGUACGGCCGCAAGGUUAAAACUCAAAGGAAUUGACGGAA